GAUGAACGCUGGCGGCAUGCUUAAUACAUGCAAGUCGGACGGGCGGUGGUGUUUCCUGUGUCUGACGGGUUAGUAACGCGUAGGAAACUGCCCUUUGGAGGGGAACAACAACUGGAAAGGGUUGCUAAUACCCCGUAGGCUGAGUAGCGGAAAGUGUAAUCCGCCCGAUGAGGGGCUUGCGUCUGAUUAGCUAGUUGGUGAUGUAAUAGCUUACCAAGGCGAUGAUCAGUAGCUGGUCCGAGAGGAUGAUCAGCCACACUGGGACUGAGACACGGCCCAGACUCUUACGGGAGGCAGCAGUGGGGAAUUUUCCGCAAUGGGCGAAAGCCUGACGGAGCAAUGGCGCGUGGAGGUAGAGGGCCCACGGGUCGUGAACUUCUUUUCUCGGAGAAGAAACAAUGACGGUACCUGAGGAAUAAGCAUCGGCUAACUCUGUG
This 437-nucleotide ribosomal RNA is filed under the name uncultured bacterium. Its description in RNAcentral is "partial 16S ribosomal RNA". It matches the Rfam family "Bacterial small subunit ribosomal RNA", at positions 28 to 507 of the family's 1533-position model. The record is from RNAcentral.